RNAcentral lists this small RNA (463 nucleotides) under uncultured Gigaspora. Its description in RNAcentral is "SSU rRNA". It matches the Rfam family "Eukaryotic small subunit ribosomal RNA", at positions 569 to 1040 of the family's 1831-position model. The record is from RNAcentral. Lineage: Eukaryota; Fungi; Glomeromycota; Glomeromycetes; Diversisporales; Gigasporaceae.
AGCAGCCGCGGUAAUUCCAGCUCCAAUAGCGUAUAUUAAAGUUGUUGCAGUUAAAAAGCUCGUAGUUGAAUUUCGGGGUUCUACCGUUGGUCGGGCUAUAGUCUGUACUGGCGUGUGGAAUUUCUACCUUCUGGGGAACUAUCAUGUUAUUAAUUUAGCGUGGUAGGAAACCAGAACCUUUACCUUGAAAAAUUAGAGUGUUCAAAGCAGGCUUACGUCUGAAUACAUUAGCAUGGAAUAAUAAAAUAGGACGGUGGUCCUGUUUUGUUGGUUUCUGAAUCACCGUAAUGAUUAAUAGGGAUAGUUGGGGGCAUUAGUAUUCAAUUGUCAGAGGUGAAAUUCUUGGAUUUAUUGAAGACUAACUUCUGCGAAAGCAUUUGCCAAGGAUGUUUUCAUUAAUCAAGAACGAAAGUUAGGGGAUCGAAGACGAUCAGAUACCGUCGUAGUCUUAACCAUAAACUAU